AUCGUUAAGUUCUUAAAAGUGUUCACGACCAAAUGAUAUGCUAUUAAUAGGAUGAUAAAAAUAUUGAGUAUAGGUCGCUGUGUACCAUAUGAGUUGGUUGUCCUCUUAACCAAGAAGUAUGGAGACACUAUUAUAACAUGCAGAUGGAAUGUAAGAGUAUAUUUAUAUCGAACGUGACCAUUUGCCAAGUACUCUGCUAUCAAGAGUAGCUUGUGAAGGAUAUGGGUAUAAAUAUCCCUUA
This 241-nucleotide long non-coding RNA is filed under the name Elaeis guineensis (African oil palm). RNAcentral describes it as "long non-coding RNA (EGUI_LNC080445)". The record is from RNAcentral. Lineage: Eukaryota; Viridiplantae; Streptophyta; Magnoliopsida; Arecales; Arecaceae.